UUGCGGAUCGUCGGAUUUCACAGAGAAAAAUGUUCGGAUUUCGGAUCUGGCGAAUAUUUUACACGGAUUUGCGGAUCUUAUUAAUACAGCGGAUUGCGGAUUUAUUUAAUAAUAUUUUGUCUCGGAUUGUGGAUUUAGCUUGCAAUUUAGUUCGGAUCCUGGAUUGUGAUUUCAUAGUAGAGCUUUUAGCGGAUUCAAAUUUGGACAAGACAUUGUCGGAUCGCGGAUUUUGCUUCAAUUUGGGCGGAUCGGCGGAUUUGUAUACCCCCCCCCCCCCCCCUCCCCCAAUUCUAUAUUACAGAGAAAU
Molecule: non-coding RNA, 307 nt
Organism: Paramuricea clavata
Lineage: Eukaryota; Metazoa; Cnidaria; Anthozoa; Malacalcyonacea; Plexauridae
Source: the annotation of a GenBank genome assembly